Molecule: ribosomal RNA, 440 nt
Filed under: uncultured bacterium
Lineage: Bacteria
Description: partial 16S ribosomal RNA
Rfam family: Bacterial small subunit ribosomal RNA
Source: RNAcentral
CCUACGGGGGGCAGCAGUGGGGGAUAUUGCACAAUGGGGGAAACCCUGAUGCAGCGACGCCGCGUGGGUGAAGAAGCGCCUCGGCGCGUAAAGCCCUGUCAGCAGGGAAGAAAAUGACGGUACCUGAAGAAGAACCCCCGGCUAACUACGUGCCAGCAGCAGCGGUAAUACGCAGGGGGCCAGCGUGAUCCGGAUGUACUGGGUGUAAAGGGGGCGCAGGCGGCGAAGCAAGCCAGAAGUGAAAGCCCAGGGCGCAACCACAGGACUGCUCUUGUAACUGGGUGGCUAGAGUGCAGGAGGGGCAGGUGGAAUUCUGGGUGUAGGGGUGAAAUGCGUAGAGAUCAGGAGGAACACCGGUGGCGAAGGCGGCCUGCUGGAAUGCAACUGACGCUGAGGCGCGAAAGCGUGGGGAGCAAACAGGAUUAGAUACCCGAGUAGUC